GAGGAAGGUUGAGGCCCUACUGAGAUAAAAAAUGAUAAUCAAUAUGAUAAGGAAACGACAACAUGAAUAUAAUCUAUAGCGAGAAUCUAGCAAGAAAAUAAGUAAAAGCAUUAACAGAGAACCAACAGAAUUGAUAAAUAGUGGUACAAACCACAACCGAAUAUUUAUUAUCGGAGAUCUCCUGGUAUCCCGAGGAUCUCCUAGUAUCCUUAUCAUAUACACGAGGAAUCUCCUAGUAUCCCGAGGAUCUCCUGGUAUCCUCUAUUUUAUACACGAGGGAUCUCCUAAUAUCCCGAGGAUCUCCUGGCUUCCUCCAUUUUAUACAUGAGAGAUCUCCUAGUAUCCCAAGAAUCUCUAGUAUCCUCCAUUUAUGAUCAUAUUUGUGCCAGGGAUCACUUAGUAUCCCGCCCUCUCAGUCUUAGAGCAUAACACGUGCCGGGGGAGCUCACGGGAUGCCGUCUUGAAGUCCCAAAUUGUAAACACGCCAAAACAAUUCAAAUAUUGUAUAAUGCUAAGUAUGAACAAUUAAUAGGAUUUCUAGCCUAGCAUGCUUCACGGACUACAGAUAAUACCAUUUAGACAAGUAAGUAAGUAAGUCAACUAAACAUGCUUUUCUUAAGCCUACACAGGUUAAAUUGCAUCUAGAAUAGGAAAAUACGCAAGAAAAUACAGUUUAAAUAUUCUAAGUAAAAUGGAUUUUCAACAAUUAGCUCAAGUACAUGUUCUUCACCUCGCGUGCAAGGCAUUUAAAACAACAAGUAAUAUAUUCUAAGGGGAGAGGUCCCCCCACAAAGUUAGGCAAGCCACUUACCUCGAACCAGUACCAAAAUCAACUACGAACACGCCUUUUCCACGAGUAUUUUACUUUGAAUGGCCUAAAUCUAUUCAAUCCAGUUUCACAACGUAAAUAACAUCGCAAGUAACUAAUUCCACUAUUAAAAUUAAAGCUAAUGCUUGAAAAUAGGUAAAAUGACUAAAAUGCUCCUCUGCCUAACGUCUCGGAAUCGAAUAAUCUUUACAUUUUCAGAAACCUCGUACUCCCAUGAGUCUAACCAUAAAAAAAUAUCUCAAAUCGGAGGUCAAAUUCCCCCACAAAACCCCAAAACAAGGUCAAAGAAAAUUUUCCCAAAUUUCAUUAAAAAUCUGAUAUUAAAAGAUGAAUUCGAGAUUAUAUUAGUGGGCUUUAGUCAUCGAAGGGUAGAGAAUUGUUACCUAGUGAUUUCCUUUGAAAAACCUUUGAAAUUGCUCCCCAAUGCGAGCUCCAAAUGUUGAGUUUUGGUAAAAAUGGCUAACUCUCGGGAUUUGAAAUGUUAAAUACUGCCUAGGUGUUUCUUCAAUGCGAUCACAUGAAGAGGGAUGCGGUCGCGUAGAGUAAAAUUGUGGAGGUCCAGAGUUUGGUCUACGUGAAAGCAGGGCUGGGCCUCCGAUCGUAGAAGGGAAGGAACUGAACAUAUAUGAUCGCAAUAGAGGCUCUGCGAUCACAUGUAAGGAAUUUAGGCCCUAAGACACUAGCCCAGUCUGUUCUAUGCGAACGCAAGGUAUGGAUUACGAACGCGGAAGAGGGAAAACGGAAUAAUGCGAUCACGUGAGGGUCUUUUUUAUUGUAUUGAAGGAAAAAUGCCCCCUCCCCCCUCCCCCAAAUUGCACGACGCGAUUGCAUGGGGAUGGAUGCGAUCGCAGAGAAGAAGAUGUCUGCAACAGCUUAAGGGAAUUUUCUGCAACACUUCAAGUCCCAAAAAUGAUCCGUUGAGCAUCCAAAACACACCCGAGACCCGACGGACCCUAACCAAACCUACGGAGAUAUCCCAUAAAAUCAUUCAAACUUUUACCAAUCCUUAACCUACCUAAAACAAUGUUGGAAACUCAAAUUAAUCAAUGUUUGAACCUAAGAACUUCAAAUUUCAACCAAGCUCGCUUUCGAUCAAAAACCUAAACAAAACACAUCUGAUUGACCUGAAAUUUUGCACGCACGUCCAAAAUGACAUGAUGGUGCUACAAAAACUUCCAAAAUCCCAUUCUCAUCCUCGGAUAAAAAAUGCACUAUCAGAUAGGAAAUUUCAAGUUCCAACAUUCGGUAUUUCUAGCCUAAAUGAGCUACAGACAUCCAAAACACAUUCCGGACACGAUCCCAAUUCCGAAGUCAACUAACGGAUCUAACGGAACCAUCAGAUUUCCAUUUCAAAAUCGUAUUCAUACUAUUCUAAUUAUGGACCACUUUCCAAUACAUAAGCUCUCAUUUGGGGACUAAGUGUCCCAAAAUACUUUGAAUCCUAAUACCGAACAUCGUAGAAAACAAAAAUAGUAGAAAUAGACUUAAGAAAAUUAGUUAAUAGGAGAACGGGGAAUAAAUUCUAAAAAUGACUGGCCGGGUAAUUAGAGAGUGUGACGUCUCUUUUAUUAAGUGUGAAAGUACAUGAUGAUAGGGAAUGAGAGAGAGAUUAAGGGAAUCUUCCGGCAUUCCCUUAAAAUUAGAAAAUUGGCAUCUUUUAAAAAUAGAAAAAUGGACAACUGUCCAGUUUUCAGCACCUCUUUUUAACAAUUUUAGACAGCUAGUCCCUUUCUACAAACCUCCCAAACAAACACCUAAAAGUCCCUAUCUUUUCUUUUCAAUUAACCCCGCUUAAGUUUUUGUUCUUUACAAACAACCACCCUAAUUUUGACCUAACUUCUGAUUCUCAAUACCCUAAGUUUACAUGUUCCCUUAGCUCCCUCAAAUUUCAAUUAUGAACAAAAUAUUAGUCAACCAAACUAUUUAAUAGUUAAUUGAUAGAUUUAUGAAAUUACACUAAAUAGCAUAAUUAAACUUACUGAUUAUGCACCUAAUUAAAACGUGCAGGAAAAUUUUAAUUCGACCACAUUUAGGUAUCAAUCCGGUCAUAAUAGGAGAGCAAGCAAAAAUGAAUAACAAAAGAAGAAGAUAGUAAUCUUAAAUCAGUUAUUCAAACAAAAUCAAGAAAUUAACUAUUAAUCAAAACAUUCACACACAGAAUCAAACUAAAUUAAAUCCUAAUAUGCGGAAUAAAUAAUAAGAACAUAGUCUAGUACCCUUCUAAUCGGAUAAGGUGAAUUUCCUUCAAUAUUUAUGCUUUUCAACUCAUGAAGCAAUAGUAGAGAUAACAGAAAAUUAUCUAAGCAUAACAACAAAUAUCUUCGGACAAAAUUUGGGUGAACCAUCGAAUCCGAACACCUUUUAAACAGACAAAAAAUGACACUAAUCAAUUAUUCUCGCUGAGAAAAAUGAAUUAGCAUAAGUUUUGGUCAAAUCGAGUCUUGAAACUCAACCAAAAUGAAGGAGGAAAGAAAACUAGGGUCUUUUUUUUUUCUUUUUAAAUCGAAAAUUGGAGAAGUUUGGUGGUGGUUUUAUGAAAAUGGGUAUGGGAUUAGGGUUAAGGCGGAGUCAGAGAGUGUAGAGUGUGAGUUUGAGGUUGUUUGGACGGUGGUCACCCACGACAAGGGCUUACGAAUCCUGGGCCAGCUAGGAUUUGGUCGGUUGAGGGAGAUGCAGCGAAUGGGGGAAAUUCUUGGGGUUGAGAGGGGGUCCUUAGGACAAUUAUAUGGGAUNNNNNNNNNNNNNNNNNNNNNNNNNNNNNNNNNNNNNNNNNNNNNNNNNNNNNNNNNNNNNNNNNNNNNNNNNNNNNNNNNNNNNNNNNNNNNNNNNNNNNNNNNNNNNNNNNNNNNNNNNNNNNNNNNNNNNNNNNNNNNNNNNNNNNNNNNNNNNNNNNNNNNNNNNNNNNNNNNNNNNNNNNNNNNNNNNNNNNNNNNNNNNNNNNNNNNNNNNNNNNNNNNNNNNNNNNNNNNNNNNNNNNNNNNNNNNNNNNNNNNNNNNNNNNNNNNNNNNNNNNNNNNNNNNNNNNNNNNNNNNNNNNNNNNNNNNNNNNNNNNNNNNNNNNNNNNNNNNNNNNNNNNNNNNNNNNNNNNNNNNNNNNNNNNNNNNNNNNNNNNNNNNNNNNNNNNNNNNNNNNNNNNNNNNNNNNNNNNNNNNNNNNNNNNNNNNNNNNNNNNNNNNNNNNNNNNNNNNNNAUGGGGGGGGGGGGUUAGUUGAGAGCCGUUAGAUCAAAAGGGUUGAACAGUGAGGAUUAGGCGUUACUAACAUGGGAUCGUUUUGGUAAUUAGCGGUGCUGGGGAAGGCUCGACUGGGUAGGGGUUGGGCUGGGCGGAUUGGACGAUUUUAGGUCAAUUGGGCCACUAAAAAUGGUUGAGGCCCAGUUCGAAAUAAAACCAAGCUCUUUUUUUUCAUGAUCUGUAAAUCAUACAAAAUUAAUUAAAAACCUAAACCAAAUCCUAAAUCAAAUAUAAUAUGUAGAAUUAAAUUAAAUAUCUAUUUAUAAUAUUAGAAUAGUUAAAAAACUUAAAACUAAAGAUAGGAAAAUACUAAUUUUAAACCUAAAAAUGUGAAAAUGACCUUUUUAAUUUUUUUUUAAUUAUGCAUUUAAUAAAUAUCUUAAAUCAUAAAAAUGCAAAUAAAAACUUAAAUGAAAUGUAUGAAAUUUGAUAUUUUUGUGGUAAACAAACCAAUCAUCUAUGAGUUACAAGAUUCCUAUCUAUAAAUCUUCUGAAGCUUGAUCUUGAAUCUUCUACAGUACCGUUGUGUAUCUUGAAUUGUUCACUCGCAUUCUUGAGGUGAGUUUCUGCUACUUCUAACUUGAAUUGACCCUAUACAUCAAGCGGGUUCAUGCUAUUGAUUUGACUGGAAUUUAACUUUGAAAUGAAUACUGAAAUGACUUGAAACUCUUGAAAUAACUAUGAUAUGAGUUUCCUCGCUCUCCAGGACGGUGCCUGCUAACUGAUUUAACAACUUAUAAUAAAUUACCUCAUUCUCUAUGUGUGUGCCUGCUAACUAACUUAAAAACUUGAAAUGAAUUCUCUCGUUCUCCAGGUGGGCGCCUGCAACUAACUUAAAACUUAAAAAUUCUCCAUGUGGGCGCUUGCGACUGACUUAAAACUUGAAAUAAAUUCCAUCGUUCUCCAGGUGGGUGCCUUCUAAAGGGUUAAAAACUUGAAAUGGAUUCCCUCGUUCUCCAGGUGGGCUCCUGCAACUGACUUAAAACUUGAAAUAAAUUCCCUCCAUCUCCAGGUGGGAGCCUGGAACUGUGAUGACCCGAAAGUUCAUCUUGUGUAUUAGAACCCAAUUUUGUGUUUCGAGGAUUUCAAAACCUCAUUUUAUUCCUUCUCGGUUUGUAUGCACGGUCGAUGUGUGUAUCCGGAAAGCAUUGUAUGAAAAAUUGUGGAAAUAAUAAUUUUUUGCUUCAAAAGUUGAUUUUUGUUGACUUCGAUCAAUAUUCUGGGUAAGCGGACCCAGUCCCAUAUUUUGACUCUCCAAAAGGUCCGUAGUAAAAUAAUGGACCUGGGCAAAUGCCUGUAAUCGAAUUCCGAGAUCCCUAGCCUAGGAAAUGAAAAUUUGAUGAAAAUUGUUAAACAAAAAUUAUAAAAGUUUUAAGAACAUGGUUAAUAAUUGAUAUUGUUCAUACCAGGUCUGUAUUGUGGUUUCGGAUCCCGAUACAAUUCCAUUAUGAUAUUUAUAUCCUAUCUAUAAAAUCUGAUGAGAAGCGGGACUUAUCUGACGUGAUUCGGACUUUUGGUUGAUAAAAUAGUAGUUUUGAAACUAUCUUGAAAAUUUCAUGCAAUUUGGUGCUAAAUUCGUAGUUCUAGGUAUUAUUUUGGAAAUUUGAUCAUGCGAGCAAGUUUGUAUGAUGUUCUAAUACCUGUGUGCAUGUUUGGUUUGUAACCCUGAGGGUUCGGGUAAGUUUAAGAUAGGCAACAAAGUGAUUUUGACUUAAGAGAGAUUGUUGGUAUGCUUCAGGUUUGCAGACUUCACAUUUGCGAGGUCUGGCUAGCAAAUGCAAGACUCGCAUUUGCGAAGUUCAGGAGGGGACUUGGUAGUUAGCACUUGCAAAGAAUAGGUCGCAUUAGCGAAAGUCCAUGUUCACAUUUGUGACUGGGACUUCGCAUUUGCGAUGACAGCAGAAAUGUGAAGAGUUCGCAUUUGCGAUACUUUUCUCACAUUUGCGAGCUUAGCAAUUCGACAUCUUCAGCUGAUAAGUUGAGACUUAGACGGGAUUUUUCAUUCAUUCUUCCAUUUAUCAAAACUUCAACUUCAACAUGGAAUUUUUCAAAUGCUAAUCCUUCUCCAAAUCAUAGGUAAAUGAUUCAUAACUCAUUUCCUUCAAUCUUUUACUUCUUUUCACAAGAUUUCAUUCAAGAAUCUAGGGUUUUUCAUGGUGGAAUUGGGGAUUUUUGGGUAGAACUUAGGAAUUUCGAAACUUGGGGAUUUAGACCUCAAAUUGAGGUCGGAUUCUAAAACCAAUUGUGUAUCCGGGCUCGAGGGUGAAUGGGUAAUCGGGUUUUGGUCCGAAUUUCAUGUCUUAACCAAGCGAACCCUGGGCCAGUUUUUGACUUUUUGGGAAAAUAUUGGGAAACCUAUAAUUUAUGCAUUGGAAUUGAUUUCUUUAGCGAUAAUUGAUGUUAUUAAGUUAAUUACGACUAGAUACGAGUGGUGGGAGGUGGAAACUAGAGGAAAAGCAGUGAUUGAGGCUUGGGUUUGGACGUGCAAUCGAGGUAAGUGUCGUGGCUAACCUUAGCUUAAGGGAUUAGGUAUUGUUGUUUGCUUGCUAAGUGUUUGUUGUUCUGUACGACGUAUAGAUGUGGUGACGUUUAUUUAUACAUUGUUGUUGGGUCCUAGUAUACGAGUAAGUCUUAAUUCUUUUGAUUGUUGUAUUCUUUAUUCUUAUUGUUCAUUCUUAAACUGGUUAUUUUUCAUGUUGAAAAAUUCUUAUCAUAUUUACUGGAAUGGGAUAUUUGUUGAGCAUUGUUUUGAAGUUGACGUUGACAUUGGGAAACUAAAUAUUGAUAUGGGGUUUGUUAUUAAUAAUCCUAUUGCUCGGUUGUUAUUAUUUUGUUGUUUGGGUGAGGAAUAACGUAAAGCACAAAGAGUGAUAUUGUGCCAUUACAUAUUUAAUUUCAUGAGGGGAAGAAUGUAAAUCACGAAGGGUGAUGCCGUGCCAUUUGAUAUUUACUUUCAAGUGGAAGAGUGUAAAGCACGAAGGGUGAUGCCAUGCCAUUGCAUAUUUAUUAUCAUGUAAGGAAGAGUGUAAAGCACGAAGGGUGAUGCUGUGCCAUGUCAUAUUCAUUAUCAUUAUUAAUUUCAUUUGUUAUGGUGAGGACGUGAGUAAAGGCACAAAGGGUGAUGCCGUGCACUUGUUUUGCUGUGUUUCUUUACUGUUCUAUUUUCCUGAUCUCGUACUCCCCUCAGCAUGUUUUUACCCCUCCCGUUAAUACGCGUUUAAUUUAUAUUAUCUGUUAUUAUGAUGUAUAUUGCUUAACUGCAUAAGUUUAUAUAUGUGUCUUGUCCUAGCCUCGUCACUACUUCACUUUUGUUCUUCUUUGUCAUGCGAUUUGAUCUCUCAAUACUAAUUGAACUUUCUACUCUUGUCCUUUCGCAGUUGGCGGGAACAUAUACCCUUUCAUCAGCUAAUCAGCAGCCCGAGUUUCGAGUGGCAGCUCCUACGAGGGGCAGAGGCUGAGGCAGGGGCAGGGCUCAGCCUAGAACUCGGCAGCAACAGUAGUAGUGGAGCCUCAGGUGGAGUUUGAUGACGAGGUUCUGACCCAAGCUGUUCCAGCAGGGCCAGCUCAGGUUCCAUAGGGGUUCAUAGCCACCCCACUGCUUCAGGAUGCUUUGGUCCAUCUAGUGGGCUUUAUGGAGAGUGUUACUCAGGCUAGCACAUUCCUUGUAGAACCAGCUGUCUCUCGAGCUGGGGUAGGAGCAUAGACUCCCGCUACUCACACUCCAGAGUAGAUAGCUCCUGAAUUUCAAACUCUAGUAGCUCCGCCAGUUGGGAUAGUUCUGUCGGGUGUUACAAUACAGUCCGGUGAUGGAUCAGCUAGGUCUUCUGAUGCUUUGUUGAGGUAUUGCAUAACAUGGGGAUAGUGGAGACCAAUGGAGUCAACUUUGCUGCUUUUCGUCUGUCAGGUUCCGCCAAAAAAGGGUGGAGUCUUUUUUGUUUGACCAAACCAGCUGGGUUUCCUAGUUUGAAUUGGGACCAGUUCUCUCAGCUAUUUCUCGAGAAGUCACCUUCUUGUAUUUCUAAGAGAGGAUUAUCAUAGGCAAUUCGAGCAUCUCCAGUAGGGCAGCAUCUCUGUUACUCAGUAUGAGCCCGUUUUAUUGAUUUGGCUCUCCAUGCUCUUCUUAUACUUCCUAGAGAGAGAGAGAGAGAGAUAGAGGUUAAUUGAGGGACUCACUCAGCCUAUCUGAUUGUAGAUAGCUUAGGAGACAGUGAGCGAGAUUUCCUUCUAAGAUGCGACCAAUGUGGCUAGGCGAGUUGAGUUGGUGUUAGCUUAAGGGAGUGGUCAAGGUUCUGACAAGAGGCCACGUCACUCCCAUAGAUUCAGUAGGGCCUCAUCUGGAGGCCGUGGUGCUUUUGGUAGAGGCCAUCCUCCCAGGCCGUUUCAUUCAACACUUUAGACUUCUCACGAUGCUUCAGGUGGUCGUACUCCUCAUAUGUAGCAUCCCGAUCAACUAGCAUGUAGUCCACCACCAUCUCUUAUCAGUGCACCUCCGCUCCAGAGUUUUCAGGGUGGUUCCUCAGGCUUCCAGGGUCAGUUUCAGGGUCAUCAACCAUAAUAGCCGAGUCAUGUUAUACUUGUGGUGAUCCGAGGCACAUUGAUUGGUAUUGUUCCCGAGCAUCGAGCAAUUCUCAACCCCAGGGUUCUCGUGCCAUGAUGCCAACACCAGGUGUUCCACCCCCCCCCCCCCNNNNNNNNNNNNNNNNNNNNNNNNNNNNNNNNNNNNNNNNNNNNNNNNNNNNNNNNNNNNNNNNNNNNNNNNNNNNNNNNNNNNNNNNNNNNNNNNNNNNNNNNNNNNNNNNNNNNNNNNNNNNNNNNNNNNNNNNNNNNNNNNNNNNNNNNNNNNNNNNNNNNNNNNNNNNNNNNNNNNNNNNNNNNNNNNNNNNNNNNNNNNNNNNNNNNNNNNNNNNNNNNNNNNNNNNNNNNNNNNNNNNNNNNNNNNNNNNNNNNNNNNNNNNNNNNNNNNNNNNNNNNNNNNNNNNNNNNNNNNNNNNNNNNNNNNNNNNNNNNNNNNNNNNNNNNNNNNNNNNNNNNNNNNNNNNNNNNNNNNNNNNNNNNNNNNNNNNNNNNNNNNNNNNNNNNNNNNNNNNNNNNNNNNNNNNNNNNNNNNNCCCCCCUCAACAGCUAGAGGUAAGGGUCAGACAGCUAGAGGUGGAGGUCGAAGUAUUAGAGGUAGAUGUCGGACCGCUAGAAAUGGAGGCCAUCUAGCAGGAGGCCGUCCCAGGGAUGUAGUUCAGAGUGGUGGGGCCCAGCCCUGAUUUUAUGCUUUCCCAGCCAGGCCUGAGGUUGAAUUAUGUGAUGUGAUUAUCACAUGUACAGUUUCAGUUUACAGUAGGGAUGCCUCAGUAUUAUUUGAUCCUGGGUCUACUUAUUCAUAUGUCUUAUCCUAUUUUGUAUCAUAUUUGGUUGUGCCACGUGAUUCUUUGAGUGCGCAUGUGUAUGGUCCACACCUGUGAGGUAUUCUAUCGUAGAUCAUGUCCAUAGUUUGUGUUAUUGGGGGUCUUGAGACUCGUGUAGAUCUCCUACUUCUCGAUAUGGUUGAUUUCGAUGUCAUUUUAGAGAUGGAUUCGUUGUCACCUUAUCAUGCUAUAUUGGACUAUCACGCCAAGACCGUUACCUUAGCAUUCCGAGGUUUCCUCAAUUAUAGUAGAUAGGGACUCCUGGUUAUUCUACCAGCAGGGUUAUUUCUUAUAUGAAGUCUCAGCGUAUGGUCGAGAAGCGGUGUUUGGCUUAUUUAGCUUAUGUUCUUGAUUCCAGUGCGGAGGUUCCUUCCAUUGAUUUCGUACCAAUUGUUCAUGAGUUUCCAGAGGUAUUUCUUGCAAACCUACUAGGGAUGCCGCCCAAUAGUGAUAUUGACUUUUGCAUUGAUUAGGUUUCGGGAACUCAACCCAUUUCUAUUCUGCCAUACCACAUGGCCCUACUAGAGUUAAAAUAAUUGAAGGAAUAAUUGAAAGAUUUGCUUGAUAAGGGCUUUAUUAGACUUAGUGUCUUGCCUUGGGGUGUGCCGAUGUUGUUUGAAAAUAAUAAGGAUGGGUCGAUGAGGAUGUGCUUUAGACUAUCACCAGUUGAACAAAGUCACAAUCAAGAAUAAGUAUUCAUUGCUGAGGAUUGAUGACUUAUUUGAUCAGCUUCAGGAUGUCGGGAUGUUUUCAAAGAUUGAUUUGAGGCCUGGUUACUAUAAGUUGAGGAUUAGGGCAUCCGAUGUCCCUAAGACAUCUUUUCGGACUCGGUACAUGCAUUAUGAGUUUCUAGUGAUAUCAUUUAGGUUGACAAAUUCCUCAAAAACAUAUAUGGAUUUAAUGAUCCGGGUGUUCAAGCCUUAUCUGGAUUUCAUUGUGAUUGUUUUUAUUGAUGAUAUCUUGAUCUACUCUCGCAGCCGAGAGGAGCAUGAGCAACAUCUUCGGAUCGUUUUCAGAAUCUGAGAGCCAACCAGUUAUAUGUUAAGUUUUUGAAAUGUGAGUUUUGAUUGAGUUCAGUUGCUUUCUUGGGUCACGUUGUAUUAGCAGAGGGUAUUGAGGUGGAUCCUAAGAAGAUUGAGGCAGUCAAGGACUGGCCUAGACCUAUAUUACUAUAGAAAUUCGGAGUUUCUUGGGCUUGGUCAGUUAUUACCGUCGGUUUAUAGAAGGGUUUUCAUCUAUAUCGGGCCUGAUGACUAGGUUGACUUAGAAGGGUGCCCCGUUCAGAUGGUCGGACGAGUGCGAGGCAAGCUUUUAGAAGCUCAAGACAGCUUUGACUAUGUCAUCGGUGUUGGUAUUGCCCACAGGUUCAGGGCAUUAUACAGUAUAUUGUGACACAUCUCAUAUUGGUCUAGGAGCGGUAUUGAUGCAGGGUGGCAAGGUUAUUGCAUACGCUUCGCCGUAGCUAGAGAUUCACGAGAAGAACUAUUGUGUUCAUGACUUGGAGUUGGCUGCCAUUGUUCACGCGCUAAAGAUUUGGAGGCAUUAUCUAUAUGGCGUGUCAUGUGAGAUGUUCACAGAUCAUAAGAGUUUGCGGUAUUUGUUUAAGAAAAAAGGAGCUCAAUUUGAGGUAGAUGAGGUGGUUGAUAGACUAUGAUAUCACCAUCUUAUAUCAUCCCGGGAAGGCUAAUAUGGUGGCUGAUACUUUGAGUAGGAAGUCAGCCUGUAUAGGCGGCCUUGCGUAUAUUCCAUUUGAUGAGAGACCACUUGCAUUAGAUGUCCAGGCCUUGGAGAAUCAGUUCAUGAGGUUGGAUGUUUUUUAGCCCAGCUGUGUGUUAGCCUGCACAGUUCCUCAGUCUUCCUUGUUUGAGCGCAUCACGGAUCGGCAUUAUGAUGACACUCAUUUGCUCGUCCUUAGGGACAUAGUGCGGCAUGGUGAUACCAAGCAUGUUAUGGUUGAAGAUGAUGGAGUUUUGAGGAUAUAGGGUCGUGUUUGUGUGCCCAAUUUGGAUGGUUUUCGACAGUUGAUUUUAGAGGAGGCCCACAGUUCCCGGUAUUCUAUUCAUCCGGGUGUCUCUAAGAUGUAUCAGGAUUUGCGGCAGCAUUAUUGGUGGAGUAGGAUGAAGAAGAAUUUUGUUGCAUAUGUAGCUCGGUGUUUAAAUUGUCAGCAAGUAAAGUACGAGCAUCAGAGAUCUCGUGGUUGUUUCAGGAGAUAGAUAUUCCUAAGUGGAAGUGGUAGUGUAUCCAAUGGACUUUGUUGUUGGACUCUUACAGACUCAGAAGAAGUUCGAUGCAGUUUGGGUGAUUAUGGAUAGGAUGACUAAGUCAGCACAACUUCCUAUUCGCCGGAGCGGUUUGCAAAGAUUUAUAUUCGUGAGAUCGUUCAUCUUCACAGUGUGCCCCCGACUAUUAUUUUUUAUCCAGGUACGUAGUUAAAGUGUCGCACUUCUAGAGGGCAGUGCAACUUGAGUUGGGUACGCGGGUCGGGUUGAGAGUAGCAUUUCAUCCUAAGUCGGACGAACAGUUCAAACUUACUAUUUAGAUCUUGGAGGAUAUGAUCUAUGCCUGUGUUAUUAAAUUUGGAGGUUCUUGGAAUCAAUUCUUACCUUUAGCCGAGUUUUCCUACAACAACACUUAUCAGUCGAGCAUCCAAAUCGCUCCUUAUGAGGCAUUAUAUGGUAGACAAUGUCGAUCACCUAUUGGAUGGUUUUAGUUGGGGGAGACUGUGUUAUUGAGUACAAAUUUGGUACAAGAUUCCCAAAAGAGUUAUACCAACCAUAAAUUUCAUGAUGUAGCAUUCAUGGUCGGAGAGAGACUGUAGAUUCGAGUGUCACCCAUGAAGAGCGUGAUGUGGUUUGGGAAGAAGGUAAAGUUAAGGCCUAGGAUCAUCGGGCCUUUUUAGAUCCUUGAUCAUCAACUGAGAGAGGUGGCCUACAGACUUGCGUUGCCACCAGGCUUAUCAGCGGUACAUCCAGUGUUUCAUGUGUCCAUGCUUUGGAAGUAUCAUGGCGAUCCAUCCCACGUGUUAGACUUCAGCACUGUCCAACUCGAUAAAGAUUUGACCUACGAGGAGGAGCCAAUAUCUAUUCUAGACCGUCAUGUUUGUCAAUUGAGAUCAAAGAGUUAUCUUUCAGUUUGUGUGCACCGGAGAGGUCAACCUGUUAGGGCAGCUACCUAGGAGCCUGAGUCCGAUAUGCGGAGUAGAUAUCCCCAUCUUUUCUCCAGCUCAGGUACUUUUCUAUGUCCGUUCGAGGACAAAUAGAUGUUUUAGAGGUGGAGAAUGUGAUGACCCGAUAGAACCCAAUUCAAUUUUCCGAAGCUUUCAAAACCACAUUUUAUUUCUCCUCAAUUUGUGUGUGCAGUCCGGACGUGUAUCCGAAAAGCUUUUGUGUAAAAAAUUGAGAAAAUAAUAAUUUUUAGUUUAAAAGUUGAUUUUUUUACUUGGGUCAAUAUUUUGGUAAACAGACCCUGCCUUGCCUUUUGACUGUGACGGUCUCGGUAGGUACGUAGUUAAACAUGAAACCUGGAUGUAUGCCCGGAAUCGAAUUCCGAAGUCCCUAACCCGAGAAAUGUAUAUUUGAUGAAGGUUGCAAAACUGAAAUUAUAAAGGUUUUAAGAAUUGGUUAAUAAUUAAUCUUGUUGAUACCGGGUCCUUAUUGUUGUUCCGGAACCCGGUACAUGUCUUUUAUGAUAUUUAUAUCCCAUUUAUGAAGUUUGGUGAUAAACAGGACAACUUUGACGUGAUUCGUACCUUUGGUAGAGAAAAUAGGAGUUUGAAACUAUCUUGAAAAUUUUAUAAAAUUUAGUGUUAAAUUCAUAGUUCUAGGUAAUAUUUUGGAAAUUUGAUUACGUGAGCAAGCUUGUAUGAUAUUUUAAGACUUGUGUGUUUGGUUUGGAGCUCCGAGGGCUCGAUGAGUUUCGAAUAGGCUACAGAGUGAUAUUAAGAGAGAUUGUUGGUAUGUUUCAGGAAAGCAGACUUCGCAUUUGCGAGGUCUAGCUAGCAAAUGCGAGCCUCGCAUUUGCAAAGAUUGUUUGCAUUUGUGAGGUAGGGGAGGGGAUUGGGUUAGGGCUAUGCACGGAUCAGAUCGGACCGAAUUUAGCACAUUUCGGAUUCGAAUUUCAUAUUUCGGAAACUAGAAUAUGCAAUCCGAAUCCGAAUUCGAUCUGAAUUAUAUCGGACUGGAUCUGAUUUGAAAGUUUGGAUCGGAUCGAAUUUUGGAUCAUAUUAUUAUGCAUCAAAGCUAAGCUAAUAUGUAUAUUUUCUUUGUAAAAAGGCAAUACAUCAAGCAAAAAUCAUGUUUAUGCAAUUAUGAGAGUAAUACGGUGGCAAUAUAACUAAAUGUAGCAAUUGUAUAUGUAAAAACUUGGAGGUUGAUGUAAAGGAAGUAUUGACUAUCCGAAAUUAUAGUGUAUUAUUAAUACAUGCCCUAAUAAUUUCAUAUUUCGGAUCAGAUCAGGUUAAAAUAUAAAAAUCCGAAUCGGAUAUGAAAUCCGAAUUUUUAAAACAUACAAUCCGAAAUCUGAUCCAAUCCAAUCCGAAAUCUGAAAUUGAAUGGAUCGGUUAGGAUUUUGGAAAUCUGAUCCGAAUGAAUAGCCCGAGACUGGGUAGCUUACAUUUGCAAAGUAUAGGUCGCAUUUUCAGAAGUCCAGGUUCGCAUUUGCGACAGGGACUUUGCAUUUGCGAUGGAAGUAGAAACAUGAGGAGUUCGCAUUUGCGAUACUUUUCUCGCAUUUGCAAGCUUUGCAAAUGCGAAGGUCAUGUCGCAAAUGAGACAUCUGUAGCGGAUAACUUUCGACUUAGAUGGGAUUUUUCAUUCAUUCUCCCAUUUAUCAAAACCUAAACUUCAAGAGGCGAUUAUCUUAAGGUUAGUUCUUCCCCAAAUCAUAGGUAAAUGAUUUUUAACUCAUUUCUUUCAAUCUUUUAUUUCUUUUCACAAGAUUUCAUCCUAGAAUCUAGGGGUUUUCAUAGUAUAAUUAGGAAUUUUUGGAUAGAACUUAGGAAUUACGAAAUUUGGGGAUUUAGACCUCAUAUUAAGGUCGGAUUCUAAAAUCAAUUGUGUAUCAAGGCUUGGAGGUGAAUGGAUAAUCGAUUUUUGAGCACGCGGACCUAGGGCCAAUUUUUGACUUUUUGAGGAAAAUAUUGGGAAACCUAUAAUUAUGCAUUGGAAAAGAUUUCUUUAGCGAUAAUUGAUGUUGUUAUGUUAACUAUGACUAGAUAUGAGUGGUUCCGAGGUGGAAAAUAGAGGAAAAGCAGUGAUUGAGUCUUGAGUAUGGUUGUGCAAUCGAGGUAGGUGUCAUGUCUAAUCUUAGCUUGAGGGAUUAGGUAUAGUUGUCUACUUGCUAUGUGUUUGUUGUUGUGUAUGACAGAUAGGCCGUGUGACGAGUAUCUAUACGUUGUUGUCGGGUCAUAGUAUAUAAGUGAGUCUUAUUCUUAUGAUUGUUGCAUUCUUUAUUCUAUAUGUUCAUGCUUAAACUGGUCAUUUUUCAUGUCGAACAAUACUUAUCAUGUUUACUGGAAUUGAAUAUUUGUUGAGCAUUGAUUCGAAGUUGAGGUUGACAUUGGGAAACUAAAUAUUGAUAUGGGGCUUGUUACUAAUAAUCACAUUGCCCAUUUGUUAUUAUUUUUUAUUUGGGUGAGGAAAAAUGUAAAGCACGAAGGGUGAUACCGUGCCAUUGCAUAUUUAUUUUCAUGUGAGGAAGAGUGUAAAGCAUGAAGGGUGAUGCCGUGCCAUUUCAUAUUUACUUUCAUGUGAGGAAGAAUGUAAAGCACGAAGGGUGAUGUCGUACCAUUUCAUAUUUGCUUUCAUUUGACGAAGAGUGUAAAGCAGGUGAUAUCGUGCAAUUUCAUAAUCAUUAUCAUUUAUUCAUUUCAUUUGUUGUUGUGUUUCUUUACUAUUUUGUUUUCAUGAUCUCGUACUCCCCUCAGUAUGCUUUCCCCUACCAUUAAUAUGUGUUUAAUUUCUAUUAUCUUUUAUUAUGUUGUAUAUUGCAUAACUUCAGAGGUUUAUAUAUGUGUCUUGUCCUAGCCUCGUCACUACUUUAUCGAUGUUAGGCUUGGCACUUACCAGUAAAUGGGGUUGGUUGUACUUGUACUGCACUCUGCACUUUUUGGGCAGAUUUUGAUACUGGAACAUAUUGAUCAUUGUUGGGUUACAUCCUUCAGUCCAUCAGAAAAGGUAGAUCUGCCGGCGUUCGUAGACCCUGGAGUCCCCUUCCAGUUAUCCUUGUUUUCCUGUUUUCUUUUAAUUCGAGAAUAGUUGUAUUUUCUUUCAGCCAGUAUUUGUAGUGACUCUUAGUAGUUCGUGGAUUGUGACAUCAAAUUUUGGGUAGUCGUGUAUAAGUACAUGAAUUAUUAUGAAUUUUUGCACCUCUUUACUCUAUUUUGGCUUAAUUAUAGUUAGUUACUGAUUUGGAUAAUGGUCCGCAUGUCAAUUCUUUAGCUAUUGGCUUGCCUAGUAUUAUGAAAAGUUAGUUAACAUUACGAUCCCGAUGGUGGAAAAUUCGGGCCGUGACAUCAACUAACUUAAAACUUGUAUUGAAUUCCCUCAUUCUCCACGUGGUCUCCUAAACUGACUUAAAACUUGAAAUGAAUUCCCUCGUUCUCCAGGUGGACGCCUGCAACUGAUUUAAAACUUGAAAUGAAUUCUCUCAUUCUCCAAGUGGGCUCCUGCCAGUGACUUGAACUUGGAAUAAAUUCCCUUGUUCUCCAUGUGGGCGCCUGCGAUAGACUUAAAACAUGAGAUGAAUUCCCUCGUUCUCCAGGUGGGCGCAUGCAACUGACUUGAAACUUGAAAUAAAUUCGCUCAUUCUCCAGACGGGUGCUUGCCAAUUAUUUAAACUUGAAAUAAAUUCCCUCAUUCUUCAGGUGGGUGCCUAUGACAGACUUGAAAAUUGAAAUAAUUACCUCGUUCUCCGGAUGGGCGCCUGCAGUCACAACAAAACAGUCAAAACAAAGAAAAUUUUCUGCCCUAGUUUAUACCAGGAACAUUUGUGAGUGUUAGUUGAAUCACUUUUUCCAAGAGGGUCCUGAAAAUUUAAAAUUGAAUCCCAUUAUCCAGGAGGUUCCUAAAAACUUAAAAUUAAAUUCGAUUAUCCAUGAGGGUCCUGAAAAGUUAAAACUGAACUUUCCUGGAACAUGCUUUCCUCAUGGAGGAUUCUUGCGAAGCAAACAAAAUUUCUUGCCCCUAUUUCAAACAAAGAAAAUCUCAUCAGUUUGAAAAUAUGGUGGUUAAUUUGUGGUAUCCUUGCUGAAGGUGUCUACUUCUGCCACUACCAUGCUUCAUUUAGAUUAGUUGUUUCGAGCUAACGAAGAAUUGUUUGACCUUCCGAUCGACCCUCGGCCACAAAAACCUCCAAAUGACCCGAAUCCCUUACAUUAAACUUGUUGUAUGGCAUUUUUAUUCUUACAAUUAUUGAACCUUUGUAUUUCCUCAAAAUCCAUGAUCACCUGACCGCCUGAACUUCAAUUACCACCACAUUGCUCAUUGUGAAUCAUGUCACUUGUGAUGUGCUUGGCCGAACUUUUCUUGAUGCAAUUAAAAAUCUAGAAAUGGGAUUUGAAUUCCUUUCUUGCUUGCUUAAUAAACAUUGACUUGACAGAGACUUAGAAAAAUAAACCCAAAAGAAAUGAAGCGAAGUGACUUCGAGAAAUUAGAAAUAAAAAGAAAAUUUUGAACAAAGAUGACUAUUUGAAGAAGAACGGAAAAGAUACUUAUCUGAUUGAAGCAACUGGCUCCAAUGAUCAUGACAUGCAUUUUGGAUUGAUCAGCCUAAUCCACCCAACUAAUCAUAUUUUAGUUCAAGCGAUGUAUUCAUACUUCAAAUAACAGGGAUUUCAAUAAUCCAAUUUCUCUGUAGAGGCACGAAUCUCAUUCGGUUUGUAGUGCCCCAAAGGUUCACCAGCAAACCUAUCUCACUUGUUCAUCUCUGAGCUCACAGUCGUCUUAAAUCACCCACGAGGAUUUUAACCAAUAAGACUCUCUUGUUUUAAAUUUUCUCCCAGCUUUCCAUCACCUUAUGAUGCCCGUGAGGGUUUCACCAAUAACACUCUCUCAUUUUAUUCAUCUUUCCUUGUGCCCAUGAACAAAGUGUUACCCAUGACGUAAAUCAUACCUCUAUCUCGAUUGACUUAACAUCCUCGAAGAUUGAUCAAAAGGUCUCUUUGGACCAUAGUGUAGGCUUUUGGACAGGGUUAAAAAGAAAGGGUAGCAUGAAGGCUCAAAAUAAUUUAAGAUGAAAGGGUUAUAAUUACAACUUUUAGAAUCAGAUCCUUUUGCAAAACUAAAACUUUUUCCCCUAUUUCUUUGCAUCUGGGGAGUUUUGGAUUUUUAUUUGAUGGGACCGAACCUCAGAGUUAGGUUGUCUACGUAUCCUUAAAAAAGAAUUAGGUCGAGUGUAAUUCAAAUGUAAAGUUAUUUUUUGCUUUUUUCCUUUUUCUUUCUUUUUUUUUCUUUUUUGUUAUUUUCUUUUCUCCCUUUGGUUUUUCUUUUAUUUUCCUUUUCCUUUUCCAUUUUUAUGCUACUUCUAAUUUCAAAAUAUGGGUAUGAAAGAAAACAAAUAAGGUUCAAAAGUGGUGACAAAAGAUAAAUGUCUUUGGGUAGUAUAAUAAAAUGCCUUCGUCAUUCUAACAUUGAACAUGCCAAGUGCAGAAAAUGCAAAUGAAGAUAAGCCGAAAAAUUAUACAUAAUGUCUCUUGACUGCAUAAGAAUUGAUAGCCAUAUCUACGCAUUUGCCUUCUAUAUCUGUUUAAUACAAAGUACCAUUGGGCAACACUCUUGUCACAAUGAAUGGUCUCUGCCAGUUUGGGACGAACUUGCCUUUAGCUUCUACUUGAUGUGGAAUGAUGUGUUUCAAUACCAACUGGCCCGCUUCAAAUUUCUAGGGAUGCACCUUCUUGUUGCAUGCUCAUGUCAUUAUCUUCUUAUGCAAUUGACCAUGACAUAUUGCUUCCAAUCUUUUCUCAACAAUGAGACUCAACUGCUCCAGUCGGGUUUUAACCUACUUAUCAUCAUCAAUUUCAGCUUUCAUAACAAUCUAAAGGGAUGAAAUCUCAACUUUCGUAGGUAUGAUUGCCUCCGUUCCAUAUGCCGGCAAAUAAGGAGUUGCACCUACUAAGUGCAAACAGUGUAAUAGCCCAGUAAAACAAAAGGUAACUUUUAAUGACAUUUUUUAGAACCUUGCACCAUCUUACGAAGUAUCUACUUUAUGUUCUUGUUAGUGGCCUCAACAUCUCCACAUUUGCCUUGGGACGAUUUGGAGUGCAAUUUCAAUGCAGAAUCUUGAACUGUGUGCAUACCUCUUUCAUCAAAUGACUAUUGAGACUAGCAGCAUUUUCUGUGAUGAUUACCUUAGGAAUUCCGAACCGGCAGAUGAUAUUUGCAUGAACAAAAUCUACUACUACUUUCUUGGUCAUGGACUUAAAAGUUACUGCUUUGACCUAGUUGGUAAAGUAAUCAAUGGCCACCAGAAUAAACCUAUGCCCAUUUGAUGCUGUCAGCUCAAUUGGUCUGAUGACAUCCAUGCCCCAAGCAACAAAAGGCCAAGGUGUAGAUAUUGAUGGCGAAUGAUGUAUCAAAUCACCAUGCACCUGGUAUUGAUGACAUUUGUAAACAAAGCUGAUGCAAUCUCGUUCCAUUGUAAACCAAUAAUAACCUGCUCGAAGUAUCUUCUUUGCGAAGACAUACCCACUCGUAUGCGGACCAUGAACUCCAAAAAUUCACUUCGAGCAGAUAGCCGAAGCUUGUUUGGCAUCUAUUCACCUCCGUAGUCCAAGAUCUGGAGUCCUCUUGUACAAGAUUCUCCCGCAUAAUAAAAAUCCACUAGCCAAACGUCUAAUGGUUCUUUUUUUAUCGUCUUUGGUAUGUACUGGUUAUACCCNNNNNNNNNNNNNNNNNNNNNNNNNNNNNNNNNNNNNNNNNNNNNNNNNNNNNNNNNNNNNNNNNNNNNNNNNNNNNNNNNNNNNNNNNNNNNNNNNNNNNNNNNNNNNNNNNNNNNNNNNNNNNNNNNNNNNNNNNNNNNNNNNNNNNNNNNNNNNNNNNNNNNNNNNNNNNNNNNNNNNNNNNNNNNNNNNNNNNNNNNNNNNNNNNNNNNNNNNNNNNNNNNNNNNNNNNNNNNNNNNNNNNNNNNNNNNNNNNNNNNNNNNNNNNNNNNNNNNNNNNNNNNNNNNNNNNNNNNNNNNNNNNNNNNNNNNNNNNNNNNNNNNNNNNNNNNNNNNNNNNNNNNNNNNNNNNNNNNNNNNNNNNNNNNNNNNNNNNNNNNNNNNNNNNNNNNNNNNNNNNNNNNNNNNNNNNNNNNNNNNNNNNNNNNNNNNNNNNNNNNNNNNNNNNNNNNNNNNNNNNNNNNNNNNNNNNNNNNNNNNNNNNNNNNNNNNNNNNNNNNNNNNNNNNNNNNNNNNNNNNNNNCACUUGAUGUAUUCCUUAAUAUCAUGGAACCAAGGUUCACCAUCAAGUUCUUCUUAAACCAUAUUAUAAUAGGCAUGCUGAUCACGGACUUGGAUAUGCAGAGGGUCGACGCAAGUCUUAUCCUGAUAGUGUAACACUGAUGCCAGAAUGGCCAGGGCAUCGACAACCUCAUAUGGAUCCUGGGAAUAUUCCUAAAUUCUACUGACCUAAAUCAUUGACAAAGAUCAUGCAGACAUUCUCGAUACGGUAUGAGCUUCAAAUCCCGAGUCUCACAUUCUCCCUAAAUAUGGCGAACCAACAAAUCUAAUUAUCUUGAACCAGUAUUUCUUGGACUCCCAUGUCUAUAGUUAACCUCAAACCCAGAAUGCUUGCUUCGUACAUAGCCAUUUUAUUGGUGUAAUAAAGUAGAAGUUGAGCUAUUACGAGGUAGUGAUGCCGUGUUCAGAAAUGCGCACAACUCUUAUUCUAACACCCUUCAUGUUAGUAGCUCCAUCAAAGAAUAGUUUCCAGCCUAGAUUUUCAUUAUGAUCAACCUCAUCAACACGCAUCACUUCUUCAUCAGGAAAACAAGUCUUUAGUGGCUCAUAUUCUUCAACAACAAGAUUUUCGACCACGUGGUCGGCCAAGGCUUGGGUUUUUAUUGCGGUCCGAGUUAUAUAGAUGAUGUCAAACUCUAUGAGUAAAAUCUGCCACUUCGCAAGUCUUCCUAUAGUCAUAGGCUUCUGAAAGAUAUACUUUAAGGGAUCCGUACGAGAAAUGAGGUACGUAGUGUAGGAUGAAAGAUAAUGCUUCAACUUUUGUGCCACUCUAGUAAAGGAGCAACAUGUCCUUUCAAGAAGAGUAUACUUAACCUAAUAAGGAGUGAACUUCUUGUUGAGAUAAUAAAUGGCUUGCUCCUUCUUGCCAGUGAUAUCGUGUUGACCCAACACACAACCAAAAGAAUUAUCCAGGACUGUCAAAUAGAGAAUCAAGGGUCUCCCAAGCUCUGACGAGGCCAACACAGGUGGGUUUGACAGGUACUUCUUCAUCUCAUCAAAUGCUUCCUGAUACACAUCAGUCCGCUUAAUCGUAGUAUUCUUUUUCACCAAGUUAAAGAUGGUCUCACAAGUUGUCGUGAUCUAAUCAAUAAACAUGCUUAUGUAGUUUAACUGUUCGAGCAGGCUCAUCACCUCAGUUUUAUUCUUUGGUGGUGGUAAUUCUUGGAUGCUUUUGAUCUUCGAUGGAUCCAACUCAAUAUUUCAUCAACUGACUAUGAAUCCCAACAUUUUCCCAGACGGGACACCAAAUGCACAUUUUUCUAGAUUGAGCUUGAGGUUGUACCUGCAGAGCCUUGGAAAAACUUUCUCAAGUCCCCGACAUGGUCAGACUGCUUCUUUGACUUUAUGAUCACAUCAUAUACAUAAACCUCAAUCUCCUCAUGUAUCAUGUCAUGAAAUAUGGUAAUCAAUGCCCUCAUAUAAGUUUCUCUAGCAUUCUUCAAAUCAAAUGGCAUUACCCGAUAGCAAUAUGUUCCCCAUGGCGUGAUGAACUCUAUCUUUUCUGCAUCUUUCUCAUCCAUCAAGAUCUGGUGAUAGCCCGUGUAACAAUUCACAAAAGACCCAAUAUUAUGCUUGGCACAAUUAUCGAUCAGAAUGUGAAUGUUUGGUAAUGGAAAAUUAUCCUUUGGGAUCACCUUGUUGAGAUCACAAUAAUCAACACAUACCUUGGUCUUAGCAUUCUUCUUUGUUGCUGGCACAAUAUUAGCUAAGCAAGUAGGAUAUUGAGUGACCCGAAUGACGUUUUCCCCAAGUUGCUUUGUUAUUUCUUAUUUAAUCUUCACACCCAUGUCAGUCUUGAACUUUCUUAUCUUUUGCUUGACAGGAGGUAAUGCAAGAUCAGUUUACAAUUUAUGAACUACCGUAUCGGUGCUCAAACCCGGCAUAUCAUCAUACGACCAUGCAAAGACAACUUUGUACUCAAACAACACUUUGAUUAUUUUUUCUUUGAUUUGCGGUUCAAGAUACACACUUAUCUUAGUUUCCUGACAUUAUCCUGAUCUCCUAAAUUGAUUGCUUCAAUUUCAUUCAAAUUAGGCUUGAGUUUUUCUUCAAAGUGUUUUAGUUCUUUACUUAUUUCUUCAAAUGCUGCUUCUUUAUCAUAUUAUGUUUCAUCACCGCACUCUACUUCUUGAGUUAUUAUUUCAGAAUUAGAUUGGCUAUUAAAAUUUGAUUAAAAAUUCCUCAUGCAUGUCAUGUCAUUCAAACUAGCAUAAAAAGAACUCUAAAAAAAUUCAAAAAUGAAACGCUAUCAGGAAUAAUGGAAAACGGGAAAUUAUAUUUCGUUCCGAAUAAAAGGAUAGAAAGUUUUGUACAUCAAAACACGAAAAAAAAAAUAGGGAUUACAACUCUGGAAUAAUCCAAAUAACAGAAAGGAAAUUAAGUCAAACUACCAAAACUCCUUUCAUGUGGGGAGAGGAGUAGCUUUCCAAUUUCUAAGCUUCAUAUUUGAACCUUCCCCAAUUUCCACCUUAUUAACCUCAUCAACAGACUCUGGAACCUCUUGAUCAGCUCUUCGUCAAAGUCAUCCACAAGUUUCGUGACUAAUGAUAUUGGAUCUUUUGCGGCCCCUAGCUUGAAAAAAGACUUGGAGAUGUGUAGAACAUGCUUAGGGAGUGAUCAUACUUUCUGUUUCAAAUUUUUAGCCCAUUUCACAUCCUUCUCUAUGGGCGUGAAUCCCAAACCAAAUGUACCGGCACUUUCACAUGGACACAGUAGAUGCAAGUACCCUGUAGAGAUGAACCCACAACUUUGCGCCGCACAAAACCAUUCCUCAACAUCUCAUUAGCUACCAUGACGGACGCGGAGGGUAGCUUCGGACAUGGAAUGCAUUCUCCCGUAGGAAUCUUCUCAACAAACACAAUUUCAAAAGUUUGGUAGACUCAAGUCCCUUUAUCGUCUUCAGCUUCAAUAAAUGGAACAGUUGUGUCAUUGUAAGACGAUAAGUUCUCAUCACCAUGCACAACUAUUUCCUUCAUGUCGCAUUCGAACUUUACCAUCUAAUGCAGAGAAGACGCGACUACCUUAGCAGCAUGUAUCCAGGUCCUACCUAACAACAAGUUGUAUGAGAUAGACACAUCUAUCACUUGGAACUCCAUAGUGAACUCAACUGGCCCUAUCGACAAUUCGAGCAUUAUAUCACCGACAGAAUCUUUCCUUCCUCCAUCAAAAGCUCGAACACGUACAUUAUUCUUGUGGAUUCUUUCAGUACCAAUUUUCAACUUUUUCCAAGGGACGGAGGGCAAAUAUAGCUGUUAUCAACCAAUACCCUUGUGAAAAUUGAAUCCUCGCACUUCACCGUGAGAUAAAGUGGUCGGCUAUGUUCCGUACCUGAUAACUAGGGAUUCUAGUAUAUUUUAUGCUCUUUUUUGCUUGAGUUUUGUAGUAAAACAGUGUACAAGUAUUCCCAAAAGGUAACUUAUUAUGUUUGUUGCUGUGUUUGGUAAAAAAGAGACAAAGAAGUCAAAACCAUCUCAAAAAGGAAUGAAACCUCCAUAACUUAAAGCUGAGGCAACUACGCGCUGCAGCAGAAAAUCAACGAAGGAUCCACCGUUGUGGUGCUUUUGAUCUCACGAUACGCGGUGGAAAAGAUCAGAGAGAUUUCAUUUGGGGCUUUUGAAGUCACCGCUGACCUCAAUGCUUUUAUGCGACGGCGGUUCCUCCACCGCGACAGCAGUUUGUUUGCCGCAGUCCGCGGAGAAGAGGUUCAAAGAGCCUGAAGUUAAGCUGAAAGUUGAAGACUACAGUUCGCGCUUGAUUUUACGUGGUCGCGGUAGCCUCACCACUGUAGCGGUCCAUUUUUCCCUGUCAGCGGUACAUCCGUCAUGGGCAAUUGUUUCCAAAAAAAUGGUUGUGUAUAAAUACUUCUUUUUCAGAUUUUUAGGUCAUCUUAUCUUUAGUGAGCACGUGAAAUCGCAGUUUUUGCUUUUUAGAGUAAUUUUGUUGCUGGUUUAGCAAUUAAUCUUAUAUUCUUAUCUUGUAAUUACAUUUUAUGGGUUAUUCUUCAUCUCAAUUUAUGAUUCCUUCUUCAAUUAUGGUAGUUAAACCCAUUAUCUAGGGUUGUGUCUCAACCCUAGUGUGGGUAUUUAAUGGUUAUCCUAUUUUAGGGAUUAGAUAUUUAUGGGUGAUUGAUAUUUGGUCUGAUUUGUACUUUUUAUGUUGAAUUUGUGGUUGCAAGUACUAGUUUGUGCCUUUUUUACUUAGGCUCUUCUUUAGAAAGUGAGCUUAAUUCUAGGAAAUUCAGGCCAAUAAGGAAUUGCGGUGUAUCAAGAGAUUGAUAGCCCCAAUUAAAGAGUUAAUCCUAGAGAUAGUAAAUACCGACUUGAGCCAACUUUGCUUGCACAAAUUGAACACCCAAUUAGGCUUGAGAAAGCCAAUUAGGGCAAAGUCACUCAAAUUACCGAGAGGUAUAUAGUGAGUAUCUUCGUGCAUUGGCUAUAUCAUGAUCCCAACUAUAAUAUUAUUGCCAUAAGUUCUAGAUCUCAUUAGAUAUUCACCUAGGAGUUAGACACUUCCUAUUGCCUUUUUACUAAUUUAGAAAACCCUACAAAAACAUCUAUUUAGCUUCAUUUCGUGUAUCAUUAGUAUAAAAUUAGAAGUAACAAACAAACAAGAACGAUUGGAAGUGCAAUCAAAAACACUGUACACUGCUAGAUUAGAUAGGAAUCCAACUCCGAACAUAUCCUAUCUCCCUGUGGAUAUGAUACAACCUUUUCGGGUAAAAGCUGCAUCGGUCACUCUUGCCACUCUAUAGUGGUGUAGGGUUGGACUUGAUCAGUACCCUCAUUAGGAAGUUCAUCAUCUAAGAAAGUUAUCUUGUUUUCUUCGAAGAUCUUGUUAGCAAUCUUUUCCAAGUGGUUCACCAUGAUCUUAUCAGACAUAUGGGACUCAUUCAAAAUCUUCAUCGGUGCUCUGCGGUGUUCAUCUAAAUGUAUCAGCAAAGAUAGAAGAGAGAUCUGAGCUGGUGUUUUCCUUAACUUCUCUACAAUGGAAUAGUCUUACACUUUCAUCCUUUUGAGGAACUCCUCUGCCUCUUCUUCGGCGACUAGCUUCUUUUACUAGGAUUUGGCUAUCCUUGAAUGGCUUGGCUUUUAUCAAUUCCUAUGGGGUAAUGCAUCUACCAGAAUGAGUCAGUCCUCCGGUUUCAUUGACUUAUUCCUCUACUUCUUUGCCUUUAUAUGUCACUAUCACUUGUUUGUAAUUCCAUGGGAUAGCCAUUGUAUCAACCAUUGGCAACUGGGUCACUAGUUUAAGAACGACAGGUGAUACGGGCCCCUUCCACGACUAUGACAGGCUUUUUUAGGAUCCCUGGAUUUUCCUAACUUGCUUCAACACCAUUCGGAAGCCCUUUCAUCACCAAUACAGGUGGCUUCAUGUUGAGCGUGCUCAACUUCUCCGUCACCACCUCAACUAUCAAGGGCAUUGCUUUUGUAGAAUUUGAAGCCUUAAAUGGAUUACUUUCACUAGAAAAAAUCAUCACUAUGGACUUAGAAGAAUUCUUGAGCUCUGCAUCUUUACGAACUAUUUCGAUCAUAUGCGUCUCUUCAUGGGCUACCAAAGGAUAAUGUGAUUUGUAUCAAUAAGCUCUUGGAUUGCUCCCUUCAAAUGCCAACACUCUCUGUUUCGUGCCCUGGGUCAUCAUAAUAAUAUGCACAUAUGAGGCAAUAAUCAAGGUUCUUUGGAGAGGGAUUUAGUAUUUUGACUCAAUCGUCCUCAAGAAAUCCAACUGCCUGAAACAACCUAGUAUAGAACUUACUAAUGCCACACCUCCUUUAUCGCUAUACACUCCCGCAAAAGAGGCGUAAAGGAGUUUUUCAACUUAAAGGACAAUCAGAACGGGAUUUGGUCAUGAAUUAUUUUAGAGUCGCCGCUUGGUAGAUUAAUGGUGUCCCAAGUCACCGAUUGAAUCGAACCGAGGAAAAAGAUGACUAUGUAUUACAGUCUGUGAUCAAGAAAUCCGAAUAAGAAAUUCUGUUAACCCGGGAGAAGAUGUUAGGCAUUCCCGGGUUCCGUGGUUCUAGCACGGUCGCUUAACAGUUGUAUUUGAUUUUAUCCGAUUUAAUAUAUGCAAACUUAUGAGUCUUUAUUCAUAUACCGCUUUUACCAUUAUUUAUUUUAAAAGACUUGCGACGUCAUGAAAACGUGUCUCUGGCCACGUCGCCAUCAAGGCACCCGUGGUCGUCAACACAUUUCUACUUUGUCAAGAUUUGGAUUUGGGUCGCAUCAAUGUGCACCCGAGUUUAAGAAAUUAAUUUAAUGAAUCGCGCUUAAAGGUUCUAACAUAAUAUUUUUGGGAAAGGCCGUUGAAAUUCGCUAAACGGCCCUUCCGAAUUCUAAUAUUUUUUAAUAACUAAUUAUUGAGGGCCUCACAUUUAUUUUUGUUCGGUGAGGCUCGUCUCCAUUUUUGAACCCUUUUCCGACCGUUAUUUAUUUUAUAAGAAUUACGACGUCGUGAAAACGCGUCUUGAAUCACGUCACAGUAAAUGAGCCCUUGAUUGUCAACACAUUUCCACUUCAUCAAGAUUUGGAUUUGGGUCACAUCAAUGUGCACCCGUACUUAGGAAGAUAAGAUUAUUUAAUGACAAGCUAAAGCAACUAUCGCGUUGUUAACUUUGCGAGGGCCAUGAAAGUUCAACUAAAUGGCACACCUCGAUUUCUAAAGGCUUAAAAUUAAUCAAGUAAGGGCCAUGAAUUUUGAGAUUUUAUUUGCCAUGGCACACCUCAAAAUGUUUAUGGAAAACACUAGUAGAAUAGAAUAAAAGGUUAUGCACACAUACCCACAGAACUAAGGUUCAAUUUGUCUUCUCCACACCAAUUAGUAACUAUCACCAUCUGUUUCUAAAUCAUGCAAGCUCAAUACACAUAUCUCAUCUUAUACAUAAAUUAUGUUGAUAUGCAUCCAAUCUAAUUUUAAAAAAAAAGAAUCAAAUGACACUUUAAACAGUUAGAACUAAAAGAACGAUCUCAAUGUUUCUUAAUCCAUCGUAGCCCGUAAUCGACAAAAGAAGAGUUGAACGCCGACGGAUCAAUUUUCAACUCAAAAUACAAACACCCAUUUUCAGUACUCAAAGACCGCAUUAACGAUUAUUACGGCUAUACUUCAAUAACGAACACAUCAAAGAGAAGGAGAAAGAAUCCAUAUCAAUUUCAGUCCUGAUUUCCGCACAUGAAUACUCGGGCAACAUUAUAUAUUUCUCAAGUGCGAAAUUAGCUCAAAUAAAAUCACAUGGUUAACUAGUAGUAUUAUACACCUGUUUUCAAGCUCGAAUUGUGACAUUAACAUUUAAUAAACUCCCACAAGAUCUAAUAGGCAUUUCAUCAAACAGAUUUUAUACAAUUGAAAAUCAACUAUAAAGCCAUCUCAGUUAUCACUCAAAUCAACUUUUGAAUAAUCAAAUCACAAAAUGGAGGGGAAAAGAAAAAAAAAUGAUGUAUAUUAACUGAUAAGAAGUCACCAAGAAAGACAAAGAUGGUGGUUGACAAUUUUGAACCUAACAUAACUCCAAUAACGGCUCAUAGGGGUCCAGCGGUAGUAAAAUGGAAAGCCCAAGCAAUUGGUCAAUGAUUGAGAAACGUCCAUUUAAAAUUCAAUUUCUCCAUACAAAUGUGAGAAAAGUCCGAAGCAAAAAAGGUUAGAUAGUAUGCCAUGUUUAACUUGAAAUUCAAAAUAAGGUCAUCAAUUACACACGAUAGAUCUAUGCGGUUGAAUCGAAUCAAAAGCUUAACAAAUUUGCCUUUUCAUAUAACAUCCAAACAAAAUAACAGGGGCGUGUAUACAUACCCGAUUGAGUUGAGACAACAAAAUUGAGAGCCUAAUCCAUCCGAAAAUAGCCAGCUCCUCUAAUUGGAAUCAAACAAACAAUCAAUGCCCAAAUGAAAACGAGAAUGCAACUGUAAGGCUCAGCAGCAUCAAAUCAAGCAGCGAGAGCAGAAUCAAAUGACCACGAAUCGCAGCGAAAUCUCGAACGAGCCUAGACUUCUUGCAGGGAAUUAAGAUCCGAUUGGAGCUGGUUCAAGGACUGAUUUACUGCUGAGUGUUUUUGAACUAUUUAAAUGAUUUUAGUGGGAAAAUUGGACCCUUUUGUGGAGAAAAUGUUGUUGCGUCUUUUUUCAGAGGAGAGCCUUCUGCAAAUUUUUCGCGUGUAUUCUUGUAGAGGAGCGGAUCUGCCCGUUUUUGCCAGGGGUAGGGUCACACAUUUGGCGUGUUUGUAAGGGGGAAGGAAUUUGGAUCGGGUAUGGGUGCAAUUUGGGCUGGGCGUAAAUCUGUUUUGCGCCAGGAAAUUUUGAUUAAAAAAUCAGCCCAAAAUUGGUCUUUUGCAAGACCAACUCUUUUCAAAGCUUUUCUUUUUAUUUCUUUAUUUUUGUUUGCUUUUCCAAUUUGUAUUUUUUGUAUUAUUCUUUCUGAUUUUAUAAAGGUGCAAAAAUUAAAAUAGAGUCUUAAUGUAUUUCAAAGCUAAACUAAUUAACUCCUAAAAUUAUUUAAAACCUAUUUCAUGAUAAAUUCACAAUUAAAACAAUUAAAAUGCAAAAAUGAACAAUUUUUGUUAUUUUUCAUAUUUGAUUCUAAAACAAAUUAACCCCUAAUUAAUGCUAAAAAUGAAAUUAGAUCCUAAAUUCAAAUUCAUAUUUUUGUAUUUUUUAUAUGAAUUAAAAUGCACAAAUAAAAUGCAACAAUUACCGAAAAAUGACACAAAAAUUCACAAAAAUUGUAAAAACAAGGGGAAAAAAUCAUUUUGUUUGAAUUUUUUUUGGAAUUCAUUCACAUAUAGGGCAAAAAUCACGUGCUCACAACCAAGAGGGGUGACGGUUUUUUUUCCUCUACUGCAUUUCUCUUGUAUAAUCCGUCCUUGGUUGAAGCUUGGACCAGUAGGGUUUUUCUAUGGUUGUGGGGUGGAUAAGGAUUUUUUGGAGUUGGAGCACGCCAUUAUGGGUAAGGAGGGGGUUGAGCAUAUGACUGUGCAUGGUGAACAUGAUACUGGGGUAGUCUGACAGAGUAUUGAGGGUCUUGUAGUGGGAAAUAAUGUUGGGGUUGAUUGUAUGGAGCUUGAGUGUGGGCUUGAGGUUGGGGCCAGGGAUGAGUGUACUGGUGAGGCAAAAUCCUCGAUCCAUGCCAUGGUUCAGAGACAACCAUAGCGACAUCUUCCUUCUUCUUUUUGCCCUGCAAACUUCCUGUGCCACUUUGAAUUGCAUGUGUAAUUGCUUUUACGGAAAAAUAGCUCAUAAUCUUGCUUGACUUGAGUCCCUCUUCCACCAUUCCUCCCAUCUUUACCACAUCAUUGAAGGACUUACAUAUGGCUGAGAUCAAAUGGCCAAAGUAAAUAGACUCUAAGGCUUGAAAAAAGUACCCGACCAUCUCGUCUUCUUGCAUCAGAGGAUUGACUCGUAUCACUUGCUCUCUCCAUCUGAACCUGUUUUCCCUAAAGCUUUCAUUGGGAUUCUUUUCUACCUUGGUAAGGGAUAGGCGAUCGAGGAUAAUGACUAUGUUGUACUGAAAGUGCCGAGAAAAAGUCUGAGCCAAAUCAUCCCAUGUGUACCACCUGCUAGUAUCUUGGCGGGUGUAUCACUCCAAAGCCUCCCCAUUCAUACUCUGAUUGAAAUACGCCAUCAAUAAUUCUUCUUUCCCACCGCCGCCUCUCAUCUUGUUGCAAACACCUCUCAAAUUGGCCACGGCAUCUCUGUGUCAAUCGUACAGGUCUAACUUGGGCAUCUUGAAACCAACGGUCAAUUGGACGUCUUCGAACAAGCACAAGUCAUUGUAAGCCACACUUACUUGACUUCAUAUCCCUUGCAUAUUCUUCAAACAUUUCUCUAAACUCUUCACUUUCAUGAAUAUCUCAUCUUGCUCCACGUUCUUGGAUGGUUUCUCGGUUUCAACAAGUGGCUCAAAGUGAGGGGUGUAGGGAUAAGAAUCCGGGACCUUGAAGGUUGGUUCUAGGGCAUAUAGGCGGGCAUCUAGAGCUUGGAAUACGGGUUCUAUAGAGGAUCGGUGGAGGGUAUCUUGUGAAGGAGCUACAAAAAUAGGAACAAACAUCGGAGUACGGUAUGAGGUUGUUUUGACUGGUGGAGCAUGGAAAAUUUGGGAUGAGAUACAUGGGUAAUUGUGGUAAGGGGUAAAGCACGGUACAUGUUAAGGGGAAGAUCAAUGGUAAUGAGAACCUGGGCUUGUGGCAGUGGUGGAAUGAAAGCAUGGUUUUCUGUAUAGUUAGCAGGGAAUGAAGGUGGAGGAUGUCCCAUAAUCCAGGCCUGACAUAUUUUCACCAUUUGAUGCUUCAACCUAUGGACCUCCUUUUUCAAACCAGAGACUCAUUUUACAAUCUCCGUCGGCGGGUCAACAACACAUGUGCCCGAUACUUUGCUAGUCAUAGCUGACUUGCGCUUCGACCUAGUGUUAUAUGGAUGACUUGCCAGAAUGCCAACAAACUAACCACCUACACAGAACCUGGCUCAAUGCACAUCCAAUACAUUGGUUAGUUUUGAGACGCUUAACCGAUAGGAAAUCGCACGUUAGGAUGCAAUGCACCUAAACAGUUAAACGCUUUUACCAUAUGUUUGAACGGCUGGAUGUUUCAUCCAAGCUUUAUCUAACCCUUUUUCACUCUGUACCUUUUCAUUCCCUUCCGCCUUCCUUUUAAUCACUCUUGAUUUUCUCUUCUUUUUUUUGUCACUCUUUUAUUUUUUUUGCACUCUCUUUUUCUCUUUUGGUUUUUUCCCAUUUUUCUUUUUAUUUUCACUCAAUUUUCUUUUCUCUUUUUUUAAUGUUAUGGCUAUGAUCGAAUCUUAUGGAGAUUUCCUACAUAUCAUGACACCACAUGAAUCAGAUCAUUGCAUAGUUCAGAGAUAUAAAUGCAAAAUGAAAGACAAGAAUAUUUUUGGGGUUUUCAAAAUUUCAUUAAUAAAAGACACCUUUUUGGAUUUUUCUAUUACACAGACUCGGAAGUACUGAUGGCUAAAAAUAAACAUACAGACUUGAAACAAAACCAUAAACAUGCUCGAAAGGACAAAAUAGACUCAAAAUAAAUAAAGUACAUACUCAAAAAUCGAAAAUCAUGAAAUACAUAAGAGCCUCGAAUGCUACUUCAGGGGCUCGCGGGACAUUAGUCGGUCUCAACGCGGACCUGCGUUCAUUCUCUUAUUAAAGGUGAUCCAGAUCAGCCAUUACCUGGAGGAAAAAUGUCAUCAUGAAAGAAAAAACAUGGAUCUAGUCAUAUCCUCACAUUCAUGGCACUUCAUUGUAACAUAACAAGCUAUUUCUUUGUUUCUCAUUCUGAUGAUACCCUUUUCUUGAAGCAAACGCCGAUUUGUUAUGCACGAGAUUCCAACACCUACGUGGCUGUGUCAUUUUGGUCUUGCAGCUUUUGAAUGCUUGCUUCUAAUUGGUAAAUCAAAGCAUAACAAUGUUCUCUCAAUAUUUUGAAGUAUUUUGUUUGCUGAACUAUCUCAAUUUUUAGGGUAGUCAGUUUUUCCUUUAAGAACUUGACUCAUUUAUCAUAUUUUUUCUUCAACCCUUGAGCAAACCCUAUCCAUUCUUCCGCACCUUUUUCCAACUAUGCUCGAGAAUUUGCCAAGUCUUCCUCGGCCUUUGUCAAAUCAGCCCCAAAAUCACACAUUUCCUGCCUCAUAUUGGUUAUGAGUCUUUCAUCUUUUUCGCUUUUUACCGGGGUCUCAAUGGCUAUUUUCAUCUUUCAGAUCUGAGCUAUGAGGGAUUUAUUUUCCCGAGCCAACCUCUUCUUUUCUCCUUUAGCCUCAUCAGCCUGCAAACUACCAUCAAAUUUGAUGUUCCUGAUUUAAUCUUCUAGCAUACUUAUGGUGGCCUAGUAUUGGUUCUCUUUAGCUAACCAAGCCAAAUGUUCAUGUGAUGCAUCGACAAAUUCUUGGAUAUAGGGACUUUUGGUCGGCCUUUCAGAUUCUUCAUUUGUCGCGACUCUCUUUCCAUACCAAGCAACAUAACCAGGCAAAACGUCGCCCUUGGAAAAAUCACAUACUCGGGUGUUUGCUCCCAAAUAUUGGCAUUUGCUCCAAAUUUGGCGAACCAUUUAGUCAAGAAAUUGGGCAUCGGAAUGCACUUCAACCGCAUGAAUACUAAGAUCUUCAUAUCUGGGAACUAUCUAGCAUCUUCCAUGUUAUCUCAAAAUUCGGUAUAGGGCUAGGGAUUGAUGCUUCAGGGACCCAUUAGAAGGGAGUAGGGGCCAGUGGCAGGCAUAUAAAUGAUCUCAUUAACAAGAGCCAGCCCAAUGUCCAUUCUAUCUUAUCUCCGCUUAUGGAACGGAGGUGGAUGAUCCAAUCUUUGACCUUUUCUAGCAUUUUGUAUCCGGUCACUCGUGCCCCAAACUCUUCGAUGCAAUUUUUCCUUGUAGAACCAUAUUUUAUGUAGCAGGAUUAGUGACAAAGGCCCUCGAUCAUCCACAUUCAAGAGAUUGCACCCCUCAAAAAAUCUGACCCCGGCCUUACAUGAUGUAAGGGCUCAGAAUAUAUCUGAUACAAUCAUGGGCGCGAGGGUACUCUUAGCCUGAGUAGUCAAAACAUGGGAAACUCCGGCUACACGUAAAUCAAUGCACCUGUCCUUCCUUGGAAAUACCAAAAGGCAUGAGAAUGCCACUAUGAAGGCAAAGCAUCUAUGUAUUUUCCACUUUGAUCGGUUUCCUUUAUUGUAGAGUCCAUUUUAUGGGUCUUCAGAUCCACUUAAAUGCCUGUAUCGUUGGUAUAGAAAGUGUAAAAUGGAAGUUCCACGUGCUAGAUUUUCAGUCUUGAUUUGCCUGUUUAUUUUCAGUAAGUCUAGAAAUUUGUGGGGAGUAACAGUCUUGGAGAUACCAGGUACUUGUGUCUUAAUCCUUCCAUACUCCCGGCAUUGCCCACGAUUUCUCUCAAAGUAGGUAUAAACUCAAAAUCUGAGAAGUGCAAGAAAUUAUGAGUGGGGUCCCAAAAUGACUCUAAUGCCUCUAUCAGAUUACUUCUAGGUUUAAUAUUCAAUAGUCCAGUGAGUUACCCCAAAUAUUGGCUGACCCUGUCUCAUUCUUGUUUUUCCAAAUCCUUCAACCUGUGGAGUGCUAGUGGAAUAUGAUAGAUAACCUUCACAGAUAAAUUCCGAACAAUGCUCAUUCUGCACAUUUUAAAUUAGGGUAACCAGCUGAAAACAUGUGAAUUAUGUUUAAAAACUGACCAUGAAAAGAUUAUUUUUGCAAAAUCCAACUGAAAACAAAUCACUUCGGAAGGGAAGAUUUUUGAGUUGUGUUUGCUAAGUGGUCAAAUUUGAGAAAAGGACCAUAGGUAGCUAUUCUUGCAAAAUGUACUUUCGGCAUCUCGUCGGGAUAUUUCUAUCUAUUUGGAUAAUAUUUUCAUAUUUUGAUUAAUUUUGGAAAAGCAGGGGUGGGCCUGAUGAGGGUUGCCUACGUAUCUCACAUACGGUGAGAAUCAAACCCGCGUAGUUCGGUAAGUUUCGAUGCAACAAAAAAAUAUAACUUAUUUUGAAAUGAAUUUUUUUUAAGAAAACUUUUGGCACAGUCUCGGGAUAUUUUGAAUACCGGAGUUUUUAGAAUCGGGUGAUUUUCUUUUCUUCUCACUCGAUUUUUCUCAAUUUUUUUCCCUAUUCUAGAAGUUGGUCAACAUGCAAGCCGAAAAAAAUAAAUGCACAAGUAGCACAUAAAAAUGCAUCAGGGUGGUCUUUUAAAUUGGGUGUACCUGUCCUAGACAGACUCAACCCCUGUGUUGAGUCCCUAAAGUCAAAUGCACGUGAUGCAAGCAACCUUACCUACUAGGGAUCCGACAUGAGGCUGUGUUAUUCUAAGUUAAAAACCUGGAUAUAUUGUUCUAGACCGGGCUUACCUGAGCGAACAACUCGGGGGAGGGGGGAACAUACUAGUAACCAAAAGAUCAUUCGACUUUGUAACUGAUCCGAUCCUCGUUCUAAAUUAAGUUAUGCCACUAACAGAAUAGAAGUCACGCCGGCGUGCACUUCCCAAAAGAUUUAUAAGACUCAGGGAAAAGAAGGGUUUUGUAACAAUUUAUAUAGAGUUUAAACAAUAUCAAAGCAGUAAAAAGCGGCAUUUAGCACAUUAGACUGCUACUAAGUCCGCAUGAUCUAACAACUUCAACCUUCAAACCACAAGAAAUUUAAUAAUUGAUGCCACACAUCACUCAUAAAUUGAACAAGAAUAUCUAUUAUUCUGAAGAAAGAAAAAGAAAAUGGAGAAGACAACAUGACAUUCAAAUAGCUCUAUCGUAAUAAGAUUUACAGCAGCACAAUCAGUAAUCACAAUUGAAAUAGAAUUCAUGUACCAUGAGAAAGCAAAUAGUGGAUAGAUUUGACAAAAAAUAAGAAAAUCACACAUAUUUGAUGCACAAAAUCUAAACAUAGGCAUAGCAAGAACAAAUCAUAUCCUUGAAUCUAUAUUUAGUAAUGAUUCAAACAAAUAGAUAGAUUACAUACCUAUCAACAAGAACAAUAAAAGAAAAGAUGACCAAACAAAAGCUAAACUUGAGAGCAAAUAGAGCUUGAUUGAACAAGACCAACUAAGCAGUAAUCAAUAACCCAUUGUGCUAAAAUUCAACAACUUCAAAAGCCAAAAAAUAUACCAGAAAAUAGUGAAGUUGAAGUAGCCUCCCUAUUUCCAUUUUCUCUAUUUAAGUAUUUAUGCCCUUUUCGAGAAUAAAUAUGCAAAAAUUAACGUGUAGUGUGUGAGGGGGUGUGAGGUCUCUUUUACAAAGUGUGAGAGUACAAGAUGAUAUAGGCAAUGAGAGAGAGAGAUUGAGGGAAUUUGACAGCAUUCCCUUAAAAUUAGAAAAUUGGCUUCUUUUAAAAAUAGAAAAAUGGACAAUUGUCCAGCUUUUCAGCAUUCCUUGUUAAUAAUUUUGGACAGCUAGUCCCUUUCUGGAAACCUCCCACAAACACCUAAAAAUUCAUAUCUUUACUUUUCAAUUAACCCCCCUUAAGGUUCUCUUUUUUACAAAUAGCCACCUUAAUUUUGAUCUUUCUGAUUCUCAAUGCCCUAAGUUUUUAUGUUCCCCUAGCUCCCUCAAGUUUCAAUUAUGACAGAUAAACAUUAAAAAAUAUAUGAAUAUAAACAAAAUAUUAAUCAACCAAACUAUUUAACAAUUAAUUGUUAAACUUAUGCAAUUACACUAAAUAAUACAAUUGAACUAACUGAUUAUGCACCUAAUUAAAGCGUUCAAACAAAAUAUAAUUCGACAGAAUUUAGGUAUCAAUUCGGUUAGAACAGGAGAGCAAGCAGAAAUGAUAAAAAAAAAAAGAUAAUAAUCCAUCAGUUAUUCAAACAAAAUCAUGCAAGUAACUAUUAAUUAAAUCAUGCACACACUGAAUCAAAUGAAAUUAAUUCCUAAUAUGCUAAAAAGUAAUAAGAACAUAUUAAAACUCAUGAAGCAAUAGUAAAGAUAAUGGAAAAUUACCUAAACAUAGCAAGAAAGAUCUUCUGACAGAAUUUGGUCGAACCGUCAAAUCUGAACGCCUUCAAAAUGGACCAAAAAUGACACUAAUCAAUUUUUUCUCGCUAAGAACAAUCAAUUAGCAUAAUUUUCGGUCAAAUCGAGUCUUGAAACUCAACCAAAAUCGAAGGAGGAAGGAAAAAUAGGGUCUUUUUUUCUUCUUUUUAGAUUCGAAAUUGGAGAAGUUUGGUGGAGGUUUUGGGAAAAUUGGUAAGGAAUUAGAGUUAAGGCGGAGUUGGAGAGAGUGUAGGGUGUGAGUUUGGGGUUGUUUGGACGGUGGCCUACGGUGGCAAGGGCUUAGAAAUCCUAGGGCGACUACGGUUUGGUGAGGGGAAGGAGAUACAUCGAAUGGGGAGAGUUCUGCGGUU
Molecule: long non-coding RNA, 35693 nt
Filed under: Nicotiana benthamiana
Lineage: Eukaryota; Viridiplantae; Streptophyta; Magnoliopsida; Solanales; Solanaceae
Description: long non-coding RNA (NBEN_LNC041163)
Source: RNAcentral